CGAAAGCCUGACGGAGCAACGCCGCGUGAGGGAUGGAGGCCUUUGGGCUGUAAACCUCUUUUCUCAAGGAAGAAGAUCUGACGGUACUUGAGGAAUAAGCCACGGCUAAUUCCGUGCCAGCAGCCGCGGUAAUACGGGAGUGGCAAGCGUUAUCCGGGAUUAUUGGGCGUAAAGCGUCCGCAGGCGGCCGUUUAAGUCUGUUGUUAAAUCGUGGAGCUCAACUCCAUCACGGCAAUGGAAACUGUUCGGCUUGAGUAUGGUAGGGGCAGAGGGAAUUUCCGGUGUAGCGGUGAAAUGCGUAGAUAUCGGGAAGAACACCAGUGGCGAAAGCGCUCUGCUGGGCCAUUACUGACGCUCAAGGACGAAAGCCAGGGGAGCGAAAGGGAUUAGAUACCCCUGUAGUCCUGGCCGUAAACGAUGAACACUAGAUGUUGGGGGAAUCGACCCCCUCGGUGUCGUAGCUAACGCGUUAAGUGUUCCGCCUGGGGAGUACGCACGCAAGUGUAAAACUCAAAGGAAUUGACGGGGGCCCGCACAAGCGGUGGAGUAUGUGGUUUAAUUCGAUGCAACGCGAAGAACCUUACCAAGGCUUGACAUCCUGCGAAUCUCUAAGAAAUUAGAGAGUGCCUUCGGGAACGCAGUGACAGGUGGUGCAUGGCUGUCGUCAGCUCGUGUCGUGAGAUGUUGGGUUAAGUCCCGCAACGAGCGCAACCCACGUUUUUAGUUGCCAGCAUUCAGUUGGGCACUCUAGAAAGACUGCCGGUGACAAACCGGAGGAAGGUGUGGACGACGUCAAGUCAUCAUGCCCCUUACGCCUUGGGCUACACACGUACUACAAUGCUGCGGACAAAGAGUAGCGAUCUUGCGAAAGUUAGCUAAUCUCAUAAACCGUGGCUCAGUUCAGAUCGUAGGCUGCAACUCGCCUACGUGAAGGAGGAAUCGCUAGUAAUCACAGGUCAGCAUACUGCGGUGAAUACGUUCCCGGGCCUUGUACACACCGCCCGUCACACCAUGGAAGUUGGCCAUGCCCGAAGUCGUUACUCUAACCUUUUGGAAGAGGGCGCCGAAGGCAGGGCUAAUGACUGGGGUGAAGUCGUAACAAGGUAGCCGUAGCGGAAGCUGCGGCUGGAUCACCUCCUAA
This 1141-nucleotide ribosomal RNA is filed under the name Candidatus Synechococcus spongiarum. RNAcentral's name for it is "bacterial SSU rRNA". It matches the Rfam family "Bacterial small subunit ribosomal RNA", at positions 376 to 1533 of the family's 1533-position model. The record is from RNAcentral. Lineage: Bacteria; Bacillati; Cyanobacteriota; Cyanophyceae; Synechococcales; Synechococcaceae.